AGUGAACGCUGGCGGUAGGCCUAACACAUGCAAGUCGAACGGCAGCACAGGAGAGCUUGCUCUCUGGGUGGCGAGUGGCGGACGGGUGAGGAAUACAUCGGAAUCUACUCUGUCGUGGGGGAUAACGUAGGGAAACUUACGCUAAUACCGCAUACGACCUACGGGUGAAAGCAGGGGACCUUCGGGCCUUGCGCGAUUGAAUGAGCCGGUGUCGGAUUAGCUAGUUGGCGGGGUAAAGGCCCACCAAGGCGUCGAUCCGUAGCUGGGCUGAGAGGAAAAUCAGCCACACUGGAACUGAGACACGGUCCAGACUCCUACGGGAGGCAGCAGUGUGGAAUAUUGGACAAUGGGCGCAAGCCUGAUCCAGCCAUACCGCGUGGGUGAAGAAGGCCUUCGGGUUGUAAAGCCCUUUUGUUGGGAAAGAAAUCCAGCUGGCUAAUACCCGGUUGGGAUGACGGUACCCAAAGAAUAAGCACCGGCUAACUUCGUGCCAGCCGCCGCGGUAA
RNAcentral lists this ribosomal RNA (506 nucleotides) under uncultured bacterium. RNAcentral describes it as "partial 16S ribosomal RNA". It matches the Rfam family "Bacterial small subunit ribosomal RNA", at positions 29 to 523 of the family's 1533-position model. The record is from RNAcentral.